CGGUUAAGUUAGAAAGGGCGCACGGUGGAUGCCUUGGCACUAGGAGCCGAUGAAGGACGGGACGAACACCGAUAUGCUUCGGGGAGCUGUAAGCAAGCUUUGAUCCGGAGAUUUCCGAAUGGGGAAACCCACCACUCGUAAUGGAGUGGUAUCCAUAUCUGAAUACAUAGGAUAUGAGAAGGCAGACCCGGGGAACUGAAACAUCUAAGUACCCGGAGGAAGAGAAAGCAAAUGCGAUUCCCUGAGUAGCGGCGAGCGAAACGGGAUCAGCCCAAACCAAGAGGCUUGCCUCUUGGGGUUGUAGGACACUCUGUACGGAGGUACAAAGGAACGAGGUAGAUGAAGAGGUCUGGAAAGGCCCGCCAUAGGAGGUAACAGCCCUGUAGUCAAAACUUCGUUCUCUCCAGAGUGGAUCCUGAGUACGGCGGAACACGUGAAAUUCCGUCGGAAUCCGGGAGGACCAUCUCCCAAGGCUAAAUACUCCCUAGUGACCGAUAGUGAACCAGUACCG
This 511-nucleotide ribosomal RNA is filed under the name Bacillus siamensis. RNAcentral's name for it is "bacterial LSU rRNA". It matches the Rfam family "Bacterial large subunit ribosomal RNA", at positions 1 to 503 of the family's 2925-position model. The record is from RNAcentral. Lineage: Bacteria; Bacillati; Bacillota; Bacilli; Caryophanales; Bacillaceae.